Molecule: long non-coding RNA, 326 nt
Filed under: Manihot esculenta (cassava)
Lineage: Eukaryota; Viridiplantae; Streptophyta; Magnoliopsida; Malpighiales; Euphorbiaceae
Description: long non-coding RNA (MESC_LNC000697)
Source: RNAcentral
UUAUUUAGUGGUUGACCGUGCGCCAUAUGCUUGGAAAGAAUGAAGGGCAAACAUUGUAGUUUGCUGCAUUGUCAUUCAUGAUUGGAAUGCACUGUGAGUUCACUUACGAAUAGUCGAAUAUGAUGCACUCAACUAAUAAAUUGGACUACCUGGACACUCAACUAAUAAAUUGGACUACCAGGACAUACACACUCUCUCUCUCCUGGUUGACUUGUCUGUGUUACUUUUGCUUAGGGAAUACUAAAUCCAGUCUAAAAGGUAGCUAUACUCACCCUUCCAUCCUGCAUGAAUGAACAAUGGGGCAUGAGUUUCUGUAGAAACUAGAU